UACCAGAUCAAUCCGGGCUCUGGACUGGCCGGCGGAGAAAAGACUUAGCGGCUGAUCCCCGCCCAGGCGAGGGGAGGGACCCCGCUUGCCCGGCCACUCGUGUGUCCGCGCCAGGCUCGCUGCCACGCUGGUAAAAGCAAAAGGACCCAAACCCUGCUUUCCCUGCCCGCGUUCCUGCCCCUGCUUGGCCGCUCGGGCCUCCCAGCGCAGCGGUCUCACCUCCAGCGGACACGAGCUUCACGGGAGGGGCGCUUCCCUAUGAAGAUGCCUCCAGCUGCUCCAGGGAGGCAGCAGGAACAGAUGCCGGCUAGAUCUCAAAACUACUGUAGUGGAGGCUUUUAUUUUGAGGCACAUGCGAUUUUGUAAAAUACUCCCUGAAGAUAACCAGUGAGACACCAUCUCUGGAGAAAGCAUCCUUUUCGGUUUUGAAUGAAGUGGUGGACUGUUUAAGAAUCUGACAAAACCAAGAGUCCUGAAUCUUCUCUUCCAUCCUCCCAUCUAAAAAUGUCCACGUCCUGAAUGGCCAUACAUCACUCUUACUUACCAUAAAGUAUAAAAAAGAGCUGAUGGUAGAGACUUUAAUUCAGAGGAAAGCAAAUAUACAUGCUGUUGACCUGAAGGGAAGAACAAGGCUCAUGUUUUCUCUGGAACAUGAAUCAGAACACAUGGGUGAGCUGCUUCUCCAGAAUGGUACUGAUGUCUCUGCUGCAGAUAACUGUGGACAGAUGGCAUUAGCUUACGCUGCUGCUAGUGAUCAUAGUGGUCAUAGAGAAUUAAUUCUUCAAUAUAUAAAAGAAGAACCUAAAUAUUCUGAAAAUAUCAACCCAAGUCAUCCCACUGAAACUGAUCCUGAUGGUUCCUGUCUUACAUUGAAUGAGCACUACUAUCAGUCUCAUUUAAAGAAUGUCCCAGAAGAAGGAGAAUCAUAUCAAAUUUCUAAUGAAUUGAGGAGAGAGCGUAAACUAUUUAAAGAAUACCUAUUGCUCAGCUGCUCAUUCAUUUGAAAUUAUGGAGCUUUUUCAUAUACUCUCUACUUUGUAUUAUUAUAGAAGGAAAUACUGACACUAGGAAACCAGAAAACAGAACAUUACUUGACAACUGUAAUGCUGAUUGUAAAAAGAAAAAGGUGGUUGAAACCAAUCUUGUAGAACGUCACAGCAUAAAGAACAAUCCAGGGUUUUCUCUUCACAUUAGUUCUCAACUGUUUUUAUAUAUCAUCUAUCAUGUGCACAUAAUGAUGCCAAACAACCUAGAUAUAAUAAAUUUAAGGCCUCGGAUCCUAAUAACAAGGAUAGCAACAGUUGUGGUUUAUGUAUAGAAUCAACAUUUGUAGAAUAUGGUGGGAGUAGUCAAUUCUGUGGUAAGUUAUCAUAUAACAAAAGAAUCAGAAUGCAAGCCAAAAGCACAACUUGAUUAAUAUAAGUUGAAAGAAUUCAUUUAUGAAGGGAAAGUUAUACUUGGUCUGUGGUAUGUUAUGGUAAGUUCCUCCUCUUUCUAAUUCCUCAGGGCUUUGUAAUGAAUGGCCAUUGAAUAUUGUCAAAGACUUUUCCUGCAGCUAUUGAAAUUAACUUAUGAUUUUGCCCUUGAUUCUUUAUCUGGUGUAUUAGUUUCAUUAGUUUUCAUAUAUUAAACCAUUCUUGCAUCCCUUGAAUGAAACCAGCUGGCUCAUGGUGUAUGGUGUGUAUGUGUGUGUGUGUGUGUGUGUGUGUGUGCGUGUGACCCCAGAGACUUAACCAAGGUGUACUCUGCAACUCACCACACCUCCAGUUCCUUUUUUUGUUCACUUUGAGCCCAGGUGUCUAAAUUGCCCAGGUUGACUGAAACUACAAAUCACCUGACUCAACCUCCUGAAAUUUGGGAAUGCAAAAAUACAACACUUUGUCCAGCAGUGUUUGUUGUUUUUAAUGUGAUGUUGAAUAUAUUUUGCAAGUAUUUUAUAAAGAUUUUUAGAUUACAACCCUCAAGGAUAUUGGCCUGAAGUUUUCUUUCCUUGUAGUGUCCUUAUUUUCCUUUUCAAUCAGGGUAAUACUCACUUUGUAGAAUUACUUUGGAAGUGUCUAUCCUUCUCUCUUACAUAUAAUGGUGGAGCAUUGGUAUCAGUUCUUCUUUGAAUAUCUGGUAAAAUUCAGCCUUGUGUUCACCUCUGGUCCUGGAGGCUUUUUAUUACUCCUUCAAUAUAAUUGCCUUUUAUUAGGUUGGAAUUUUGCAUUCCUUUGAUUUAUAUUUUGAGUUGUUUAGAUUCAUAUGUACUGCUUCAUACAUAUAUUCUAUGCUUUCCAUUUUUUACCAUGUCAGUCUUCAUAAUGUUUUUCUAGAUAUUCCUGUUUAUUGAACAAAAAGUUUUCCAGAUAAUUCCCAGUAGUGUUCUGGAUUUCAGUGAUAUCUGUUUUAAUAUUUCUCUUUUGAUUUCUAGGUUUAUUUAUUUGUUUCUUCUUUCUCUUUCC
Sciurus carolinensis (gray squirrel) is the source of this 2444-nucleotide long non-coding RNA. RefSeq lists it as uncharacterized. Lineage: Eukaryota; Metazoa; Chordata; Mammalia; Rodentia; Sciuridae. The record is from RefSeq and is a predicted model, not a curated record. The transcript is spliced from 8 exons.